GAAACUUUUAAACGGCCGCGGUAUCCUAACCGUGCAAAGGUAGCGUAAUCACUUGUCUUUUAAAUAAAGACUUGUAUGAACGGCUAAAUGAGGAUAAACCUGUCUCUUUUAAUUAACCAGUGAAACUGAUCUUCAAGUACAAAAGCUUGAAUAAACACAUAAGACGAGAAGACCCUGUGGAGCUUAAAACCCACACCAUGCCACAACCGAAUGGUCCCGGUUUUAAGUUGGGGCGACUUCGGAAAACAAUGCAACUUCCGAGCACAGAGCCAACCACUCCCACCAAGACCAACAAGUCAAAGCAAACGCCGACCCAGUCACGCUGAGCAACGAACCAAGUUACCCCAGGGAUAACAGCGCCAUCUUCUUCAAGAGUCCCUAUCGACAAGAAGGUUUACGACCUCGAUGUUGGAUCAGGACACCCAAAUGGUGCAGCAGCUAUUAAAGGUUCGUUUGUUCAACGAUCAAUAGUCCUACGUGAUCUGAGUUC
RNAcentral lists this ribosomal RNA (490 nucleotides) under Pseudemoia entrecasteauxii. RNAcentral's name for it is "partial 16S ribosomal RNA". It matches the Rfam family "Bacterial large subunit ribosomal RNA", at positions 1914 to 2612 of the family's 2925-position model. The record is from RNAcentral. Lineage: Eukaryota; Metazoa; Chordata; Lepidosauria; Squamata; Scincidae.